GACGAACGCUGGCGGCGUGCUUAACACAUGCAAGUCGAACGGUGAAGCGCCUUCCUUUUUGGUGGGUGUGGAUGAGUGGCGAACGGGUGAGUAACACGUGAGUAACCUGCCCCCUUCUUCUGGAUAACCGCAUGAAAGUGUGGCUAAUACGGGAUAUUCUGGGUCUGUCGCAUGAUGGGUCUGGGAAAGAUAUUGUUUCGGUGGGGGAUGGGCUCGCGGCCUAUCAGCUUGUUGGUGGGGUGAUGGCCUACCAAGGCGGUGACGGGUAGCCGGCCUGAGAGGGUGGACGGUCACACGGGGACUGAGACACGGCCCAGACUCCUACGGGAGGCAGCAGUGGGGAAUAUUGCACAAUGGGCGCAAGCCUGAUGCAGCGACGCCGCGUGGGGGAUGGAGGCCUUCGGGUUGUGAACCUCUUUCGCCAGUGAAGCAGGACUGCCUCGUUUGUGGGUGGGUUGACGGUAGCUGGAUAAGAAGCGCCGGCUAACUACGUG
RNAcentral lists this ribosomal RNA (494 nucleotides) under uncultured bacterium. Its description in RNAcentral is "partial 16S ribosomal RNA". It matches the Rfam family "Bacterial small subunit ribosomal RNA", at positions 28 to 507 of the family's 1533-position model. The record is from RNAcentral.